AAAGCUGUGCUAAUACCGCAUACGCCCUGAGGGGGAAAGCAGGGGCUCUUAGGACCUUGCGUUACUGGAGCGGCCGACGUCUGAUUAGCUAGUAGGUGGGGUAAAGGCCUACCUAGGCGAUGAUCAGUAGCUGGUCUGAGAGGAUGAUCAGCCACACUGGGACUGAGACACGGCCCAGACUCCUACGGGAGGCAGCAGUGGGGAAUUUUGGACAAUGGGCGCAAGCCUGAUCCAGCCAUUCCGCGUGAGUGAAGAAGGCCUUCGGGUUGUAAAGCUCUUUCGGCAGGGAAGAAACGGUUACGGCUAAAACCCGUGACUACUGACGGUACCUGAAGAAGAAGCACCGGCUAACUACGUGCCAGCAGCCGCGGUAAUACGUAGGGUGCGAGCGUUAAUCGGAAUUACUGGGCGUAAAGCGUGCGCAGGCGGUUUAUCAAGUCUGACGUGAAAGCCCCGGGCUUAACCUGGGAACGGCGUUGGAAACUGAUAGACUUGAGUGCGGCAGAGGGGGGUAGAAUUCCACGUGUAGCAGUGAAAUGCGUAGAUAUGUGGAGGAAUACCGAUGGCGAAGGCAGCCCCCUGGGUUGACACUGACGCUCAUGCACGAAAGCGUGGGUAGCAAACAGGAUUAGAUACCCUGGUAGUCCACGCCCUAAACGAUGUCAACUAGUUGUUGGGGAGGGAGACCUCCUUGGUAACGCAGCUAACGCGUGAAGUUGACCGCCUGGGGAGUACGGUCGCAAGAUUAAAACUCAAAGGAAUUGACGG
RNAcentral lists this ribosomal RNA (768 nucleotides) under uncultured bacterium. RNAcentral's name for it is "bacterial SSU rRNA". It matches the Rfam family "Bacterial small subunit ribosomal RNA", at positions 154 to 916 of the family's 1533-position model. The record is from RNAcentral.